CCCGACUGCUAUUUGGGUGAGAAUAAGCCAUGCGAGUUGAAUGGAAUACCUAAAUUUUCCAUGGCAAACUGCUCAGUAACACGUGAUCAACUUACCCUAUAGAGUAAAAUAACCUCGGGAAACUGAGGAUAAUGUUUCAUAGUUGAAAAGGCUUGGAAAAGUUUUUCAAUCAAAAGGAUAAAAAAAAUGGUUUUUAUCCGCUAUAGGAUAGGAUCGUGGUCGAUUAUGGUUGUUGGUGAGGUAAUGGCUCACCAAGCCGAUAAUCGAUAGGGGCCGUGAGAGCGGGAGCCCCGAGAUGGGUACUGAGACAACGACCCAGGCCUCACGAGGCGCAGCAGGCGCGAAACCUCCGCAAUACACGAAAGUGUGACGGGGUUACCCAAAGUGUUCAAUUUUGAACUGUGGUAGGUGAGUAAUGUUCCCUACUAGAAAGGAGAGGGCAAGGCUGGUGCCAGCCGCCGCGGUAAAACCAGCUCUUCAAGUGGUCGGGAUAAUAUUGGGCUUAAAGUGUCCGUAGCCGGUUUAGUAAGUUCCUGGUAAAAUCGGGUAGCUUAACUAUCUGUAUGCUAGGAAUACUGCUAAACUAGAGGGCGGGAGAGGUCUGAGGUACUACAGGGGUAGGGGUGAAAUCUUAUAAUCCUUGUAGGACCACCAGUGGCGAAGGCGUCAGACUGGAACGUGCCUGACGGUGAGGGACGAAAGCCAGGGGAGCGAACCGGAUUAGAUACCCGGGUAGUCCUGGCCGUAAACGAUGCAUACUAGGUGAUGGCAUGGCCAUGAGCCGUGUCAGUGCCGUAGGGAAACCGUUAAGUAUG
This 815-nucleotide ribosomal RNA is filed under the name uncultured archaeon. RNAcentral describes it as "bacterial SSU rRNA". It matches the Rfam family "Archaeal small subunit ribosomal RNA", at positions 21 to 823 of the family's 1478-position model. The record is from RNAcentral.